CCAAGUCCCUCAGAUUCCCCUCAGUUGUUGGAAGUAACAUCCAAACUGUGUCACAAGCCCACUCCAUUCCUCUGCUGUGGUGAGCCACCUCCACCCUCCAUCAUUACAGAUUUCUCUUCUAAACACCUCAGUGUCCCAGUUUGUCUCCUAUAGAGGUGUGCAUUUUUAUCCUCUACCUGACUUAGAAUUGUACUAGCUUGGCAAAACUUGGAUGUCUAGUGAAGAAACUUAUAAAGUAAAGGGUCACCUUUGUGACCAGAGCCAGCAUUGCAGCUUGAACAUCACUGAGCUGGAAGCCUGGGACAGAGAAACAGUGUUAAUCUUGAUUAAUGGUGGAACAAAUUUUGGACCUGUUGAGACUAAGCCUGUUCUUUGUCUUUUUCUUCUGAGAGCUGCAGACACCAAUGGAGUUUGAGAAUCUUUCAUCUUAGAGAGGCUGCAUCUGCUGGAGUUAAGUUGUCCGAAGUUGUUUCCACAUUUGAAAAGCCAUGCGGGACGCUAAUGAGAUGAGGAGCAGAAGAGAGAGAAUCAGCUGCAACAUGAAAAAGUCAUAGAGAAUCAUGUCUGACCAACCACCCAUUGUGAUGGACAGAUUUUCACUCAGAGAAGGCCCUCUCUUCACUCUGCCAACAGCAAGGAGUCUAUAAUUUUAAAGUGUUGGAAGAGGAGCUGUCCCACAGUCACAAACUCUCUGGGUUGUCGUCUCCUCUUUCACUCAGUCUAAGUUCACAGCGAUGGGUGAUUUGGGCAAGAGGCUUAAAGGGAGGCUGACCAGAGGAGUUCAGUGUCUGUUGACCUGGCAACGGGGUGGCUCCAUUAUUACCUGCCUCCAUUAUUACCUGCCUCUUUUUUUCUCCUCUGAAACUUCCAUUAUUACCCUAGCAUGCAGAGCUGCUUAUCAGAGUCUUGGUUGCCAGUUCAGCCUUGGGUGGAGGAGCUACUGCUAGUUUUCCUAGAAACUUUAUUCACUGACUAAUUUAUUUGGUGUUUCCCAUUUUGUACUGAAAAAAUGACUCGUGAUUCUUUUCUGCCAGUAUAUGGGGUGGGAAAAGAAAUGUUGUAGCACUCAUCAAAAGUGUCCAGCCACUGCUUUGUCACAUGUAGUUAUCUCCUUCUGGGCUUCACUAUAAAUCCUUACUCUUGUUUUGGGUGGAUUAUGCUAGACAUGGGGUUCUUUGUCCCCCAGGGCCCUCAAGGAAAGACCUCAUCCACCCUCCUCCCCAAUUAGUCUCAGGGAGAGGAGGUCAUUUCUCAGAAGCUCUUUGCCUGGCUCUCAUCAGAGGCAGCUCCCUUCACUUUGCCAGGAGGCCUAAAUUAAUUCCUUUAAAAGAAUCUACCACAUGAACAACCUUACUCUGUGACUCUCUCCAUGUCUAAAACUGCUGGAACUGAAUACAACCUCUGAGUUCUAAUUCUUGCCUAGAAACAGCCUCCUUCCAAAGGAGGAUCCCGCCACCUCCCUGCUCUCCUGGAGUGAUCCACCAGCAUCAGAAAGAUGCUCAUCAGGAGGCAUCCAGAACCCUGGGAAUGUGAGGACGGUACAGUCACUGUCUGACUUAGGGCCUUGGUCCCAUUCCCUUCCAGCCUCAAUGGGCCUGUGAAGACAGAAGCCGAGCCAUACAUUCAAAGGAAAAAGGAAGAGGGACUCACAAUUUUUGAGGACAGAUCUGCAGAGAGUCAGAAAUCUGGUGGAGCUUUACCCUACUAGUAGUGGAGGGGGCAAGAGAGUGUGAACUACAGAUGUGAAUAUAUUUGAGGGGCAGCAUGAUCUGGAGAGCAGGUGGAGAGAAGAAGGAAAAUAGACACACGUUUCCAUUUUGACUGUGAGUCAACGCCGUUUCAUGCGGUGGAAUAAGUGCCCUGAGGGCUGGGGGAAAAAGGUGUUUGCACCAUUUCCAUUCAAUUGAGUCAUGUGCCCCAUGAAUGGAGUUUGGGGUAAGGGAAUGAACUCACCACUGACUCCGUUUCCCGUGUUUCCCAUGUUUUCCUGUCCCCUUAUCUUAUUUCCUUGUUUCACAUGAGAGAAGAGUGAUUCCUUUGAGAUCCUGAAGGGUGAGAUCAAAGCCACUUGUCUGCCAGACAGGACACUGGACACUGGAUCAAGAGAGACAGGAGACCUCCCUGUUCAUGUCUGACCCUACAGUACCAGCCAGGAGAUCUCCCUGGGUCCCAGCAGCAGACCUCACCUCAAAACUCUGGGAUGACCUUGGGUAAGUCACCGCCCAAGGAGGAGGUGGUCUCACCUGUCAAAGAGGAUCACAC
Molecule: long non-coding RNA, 2262 nt
Organism: Eubalaena glacialis (North Atlantic right whale)
Lineage: Eukaryota; Metazoa; Chordata; Mammalia; Artiodactyla; Balaenidae
Exons: 4
Source: RefSeq, a predicted model, not a curated record